CCUACGGGAGGCAGCAGUGGGGAAUAUUGGACAAUGGGGGGAACCCUGAUCCAGCUAUGCCGCGUGUGUGAAGAAGGCCCUCGGGUUGUAAAGCACUUUCAGUGAGGAAGAACGCCUGGUGGUUAAUACCCAUCAGGAAAGACAUCACUCACAGAAGAAGCACCGGCUAACUCCGUGCCAGCAGCCGCGGUAAUACGGAGGGUGCGAGCGUUAAUCGGAAUUACUGGGCGUAAAGCGCGCGUAGGUGGCUUGAUAAGCCGGUUGUGAAAGCCCCGGGCUCAACCUGGGAACGGCAUCCGGAACUGUCAAGCUAGAGUGCAGGAGAGGAAGGUAGAAUUCCCGGUGUAGCGGUGAAAUGCGUAGAGAUCGGGAGGAAUACCAGUGGCGAAGGCGGCCUUCUGGACUGACACUGACACUGAGGUGCGAAAGCGUGGGUAGCAAACAGGAUUAGAUACCCUUGUAGUC
This 465-nucleotide ribosomal RNA is filed under the name Vreelandella stevensii. RNAcentral describes it as "partial 16S ribosomal RNA". It matches the Rfam family "Bacterial small subunit ribosomal RNA", at positions 338 to 795 of the family's 1533-position model. Lineage: Bacteria; Pseudomonadati; Pseudomonadota; Gammaproteobacteria; Oceanospirillales; Halomonadaceae. The record is from RNAcentral.